Molecule: ribosomal RNA, 466 nt
Filed under: uncultured bacterium
Lineage: Bacteria
Description: partial 16S ribosomal RNA
Rfam family: Bacterial small subunit ribosomal RNA
Source: RNAcentral
GAUGAACGCUGGCGGCGUGCUUAACACAUGCAAGUCGAACGAUGAAGCUCAGCUUGCUGGGUGGAUUAGUGGCGAACGGGUGAGUAACACGUGAGUAACCUGCCCUUAACUCUGGGAUAAGCCUGGGAAACUAGGUCUAAUACCGGAUAGGAGCGCCUACCGCAUGGUGGGUGUUGGAAAGAUUUAUCGGUUUUGGAUGGACUCGCGGCCUAUCAGCUUGUUGGUGAGGUAAUGGCUCACCAAGGCGACGACGGGUAGCCGGCCUGAGAGGGUGACCGGCCACACUGGGACUGAGACACGGCCCAGACUCCUACGGGAGGCAGCAGUGGGGAAUAUUGCACAAUGGGCGAAAGCCUGUUGCAGCGACGCCGCGUGAGGGAUGACGGCCUUCGGGUUGUAAACCUCUUUCAGUAGGGAAGAAGCGAAAGUGACGGUACCUGCAGAAGAAGCACCGGCUAACUACGUG